Molecule: ribosomal RNA, 277 nt
Filed under: uncultured bacterium
Lineage: Bacteria
Description: partial 16S ribosomal RNA
Rfam family: Bacterial small subunit ribosomal RNA
Source: RNAcentral
CUUUCUCCGCCGGCGACCGGCGCACGGGUGAGGUAACACGUAUGCAACCUGCCCCUGUCAGGGGGACAACCCGCCGAAAGGCGGGCUAAACCCGCGUACAUGCCACCGGGGCAUCCCGGAGGCAGGAAAGGCUUCGGCCGGACAGGGAUGGGCAUGCGGCGCAUUAGGCAGUAGGCGGGGUAACGGCCCACUUAACCGACGAUGCGUAGGGGUUCUGAGAGGAAGGUCCCCCACACUGGUACUGAGACACGGACCAGACUCCUACGGGAGGCAGCAG